CAUAUACACGUGUGAUAAAG
Molecule: small nuclear RNA, 20 nt
Filed under: Arabidopsis thaliana (thale cress)
Lineage: Eukaryota; Viridiplantae; Streptophyta; Magnoliopsida; Brassicales; Brassicaceae
Description: snRNA_16977
Source: RNAcentral